RNAcentral lists this ribosomal RNA (253 nucleotides) under uncultured bacterium. Its description in RNAcentral is "partial 16S ribosomal RNA". It matches the Rfam family "Bacterial small subunit ribosomal RNA", at positions 524 to 776 of the family's 1533-position model. The record is from RNAcentral.
AACGUAGGAGACAAACGUUAUCCGGAGUUACUGGGCGUAAAGGGCGUGUAGGCGGUUCGUUAAGUCUGGCGUGAAAGCUCUCGGCUAAACCGGGAGAGGUCGUUGGAUACUGGCGAACUAGAGGACGGUAGAGGCGUGUGGAAUUCCGGGUGUAGUGGUGAAAUGCGUAGAGAUCCGGAGGAACACCAGUGGCGAAGGCGACACGCUGGGCCGUACCUGACGCUAAAGCGCGACAGCAUGGGGAGCGAACGGG